This 465-nucleotide ribosomal RNA is filed under the name uncultured bacterium. Its description in RNAcentral is "partial 16S ribosomal RNA". It matches the Rfam family "Bacterial small subunit ribosomal RNA", at positions 28 to 507 of the family's 1533-position model. The record is from RNAcentral.
GACGAACGCUGGCGGCGUGCUUAACACAUGCCAGUCGAACGGAAAGGCCCCUUUGGGGGUCCUCGAGUGGCGAACGGGUGAGUAACACGUGAGUAACCUGCCCUUGACUUCGGGAUAACUUCAGGAAACUGGGGCUAAUACCGGAUAGGAAUCCUUGCUGCAUGGUGGGGGUUGGAAAGCUUCGGCGGUUUUGGAUGGACUCGCGGCUUAUCAGCUUGUUGGUGGGGUAGUGGCUUACCAAGGCUUUGACGGGUAGCCGGCCUGAGAGGGCGACCGGCCACAUUGGGACUGAGAUACGGCCCAGACUCCUACGGGAGGCAGCAGUGGGGAAUAUUGCACAAUGGGCGGAAGCCGGAUGCAGCAACACCGCGUGCGGGAGGACGGCCUUCGGGUUGUAAACCGCGUUCAGCAGGGGCGAAGCUUGUGGUGACGGUACCUGCAGAAGAAGCACCGGCUAACUACGUG